This 385-nucleotide long non-coding RNA is filed under the name Malus domestica (apple). Its description in RNAcentral is "long non-coding RNA (MDOM_LNC001268)". The record is from RNAcentral. Lineage: Eukaryota; Viridiplantae; Streptophyta; Magnoliopsida; Rosales; Rosaceae.
AAAUCAUCCCGCACACGGCAAUGCGGCCAUGAAGUCUCAUGUUCAUGAGCACUGCAUCGAGCAUUUUGCCCCCAACGUUCUCCCAGUAAAUGUCAAUGCCUUCUGGGAAAUACCUACCACACAUCAACAUGAAUAAUUGACUAAUUUGUCAGUUAUUAACUUCUGUUAUUAGUUUAAUAUGUGCAUGAUGAGUGCAGUCCUUAAUUAUUUGUGUCAUUGUUUAUCGUAAAAACCAACCUUUUCAAAGCCGUAUUCAAGUCAGGCUCUUCCUUAUAAUUGAAAGCCUCAUCAAAUCCAAACUUCUUUUUCAACAUAUCAACCUAAAUAUUGGAGAAUAAUAAGCACAAGUACUGAAUGUAAUUAGUAACCAUAUAUAUAUAUAUAU